GUGCUCGCUUCAGCAGCACAUAUACUAAAAUUGGAACGAUACAGAGAAGAUUAGUGUGGCCCUUACUCAAGGAUAACACACAGAUUCAUGAAGAGUUCCAUAUUUAA
Small nuclear RNA from Prolemur simus (greater bamboo lemur), 107 nucleotides. NCBI's taxonomy places the organism in Eukaryota, Metazoa, Chordata, Mammalia, Primates, Lemuridae. The record is from Ensembl.